Molecule: ribosomal RNA, 398 nt
Filed under: uncultured bacterium
Lineage: Bacteria
Description: bacterial SSU rRNA
Rfam family: Bacterial small subunit ribosomal RNA
Source: RNAcentral
ACGGGUGAGUAACGCGUGGGUAACCUACCUGUACAGGGGGACAACAGUUGGAAACGACUGCUAAUACCGCAUAAGCGCACAGCUUCGCAUGAAGCAGUGUGAAAAGUUUUUUCGGUACAAGAUGGACCCGCGUCUGAUUAGCUGGUUGGUGAGGUAACGGCCCACCAAGGCGACGAUCAGUAGCCGACCUGAGAGGGUGACCGGCCACAUUGGGACUGAGACACGGCCCAAACUCCUACGGGAGGCAGCAGUGGGGAAUAUUGCACAAUGGGCGAAAGCCUGAUGCAGCCGACGCCGCGUGAGCGAAGAAGUAUUUCGGUAUGUAAAGCUCUAUCAGCAGGGAAGAUAAUGACGGUACCUGACUAAGAAGCACCGGCUAAAUACGUGCCAGCCGCGGC